CCUACGGGAGGCAGCAGUGAGGAAUAUUGGUCAAUGGCCGGAAGGCUGAACCAGCCAAGCCGCGUGAAGGACGAAGGUGCCAAGCAUUGUAAACUUCUUUUGUCAAGGGACAAAAUCAGGCUCGAGAGCCUGACCGAGGGGACUUGAAGAAAAAGCAUCGGCUAACUCCGGGCCAGCAGCCGCGGUAAUACGGGGAAUGCGAGCGUUAGCUGGAUUUAGUGGGUUUAAAGGGUGCGUAGGCGGACUGUUAAGUCAGAGGUAAAAGCCCGGGGCUAAACCCCGGCGUGCCGUUGAAACUGGCUGUCUUGAGAUGUCGAGAGGUAUGCGGAAUGCGCAGUGUAGCGGUGAAAUGCGUAGAUAUUGCGCAGAACUCCGAUUGCGAAGGCAGCAUACCGGCGGCGAUCUGACGCUGAGGCACGAAAGCGUGGGUAUCGAACAGGAUUAGAUACCCCGGUAGUC
RNAcentral lists this ribosomal RNA (459 nucleotides) under uncultured bacterium. RNAcentral describes it as "partial 16S ribosomal RNA". It matches the Rfam family "Bacterial small subunit ribosomal RNA", at positions 338 to 795 of the family's 1533-position model. The record is from RNAcentral.